GUCAGACUCCCUGUACAAUAGCUGUUUGUCCCAUACAAACCUCUCACCCUCUGCCCCGGGUUGGUCAGAGGUGACCUUGUCUCUAUAUACUUGUAAGGUAGGGUCAGUGAUCACCUCUGCCGAAAAUUCGUUAGGGGGAGCAGCGGUUGGUGGGGGUGGUAGUUGUCGGGGUGUUGCUGUUGUGUUGGUGGGGUAGCUUGUCCCUCCUAGGGGUCUUACUGCGGUCUUGAUGACUACAGGUUUUUGUUGUCUGCAAGCCUCCAUCUAGUCAUCUGCUUUCCUAGCUGCCUCAGUGAGGGAUGUAGGGUUGCGGUCCCUUACCCAUUCCUGGACAUCUGUUGGUACCCCAUCAUAGAAUUGUUCCAACAGCAGCAUUUGUAAUAUGUCAUCCAUGGACCGUGCUUUGUUAGCCUGUACCCAUCCAAGGGCCGCCCGAUGUAGUCUACAAGCUCACUCUGCGUGCAAAUCUUUCUCCGCUUUCUUUAGUUCCCUGAACCACCUUCGGUAUGCCUCUGGUGUGAUGGCAUACCAGGCCAAUAUAAUUUCCUUUACCUGACUGUAGUCACGGAUUUCUUCGUCCGGUACAGUGCGGUAAGCUUCUGCUGCUCUCCUGUUUAGUCGCCCAGCUAGAAUGGGGACCCAAUCCUCUGAGCUGACUUUAUGCAAGGCACACAGUCU
Non-coding RNA from Pelobates cultripes (western spadefoot toad), 678 nucleotides. The record is from the annotation of a GenBank genome assembly. NCBI's taxonomy places the organism in Eukaryota, Metazoa, Chordata, Amphibia, Anura, Pelobatidae.